This 2904-nucleotide ribosomal RNA is filed under the name Escherichia coli. RNAcentral's name for it is "bacterial LSU rRNA". It matches the Rfam family "Bacterial large subunit ribosomal RNA". Lineage: Bacteria; Pseudomonadati; Pseudomonadota; Gammaproteobacteria; Enterobacterales; Enterobacteriaceae. The record is from RNAcentral.
UUAAGCGACUAAGCGUACACGGUGGAUGCCCUGGCAGUCAGAGGCGAUGAAGGACGUGCUAAUCUGCGAUAAGCGUCGGUAAGGUGAUAUGAACCGUUAUAACCGGCGAUUUCCGAAUGGGGAAACCCAGUGUGAUUCGUCACACUAUCAUUAACUGAAUCCAUAGGUUAAUGAGGCGAACCGGGGGAACUGAAACAUCUAAGUACCCCGAGGAAAAGAAAUCAACCGAGAUUCCCCCAGUAGCGGCGAGCGAACGGGGAGGAGCCCAGAGCCUGAAUCAGUGUGUGUGUUAGUGGAAGCGUCUGGAAAGGCGCGCGAUACAGGGUGACAGCCCCGUACACAAAAAUGCACAUGCUGUGAGCUCGAUGAGUAGGGCGGGACACGUGGUAUCCUGUCUGAAUAUGGGGGGACCAUCCUCCAAGGCUAAAUACUCCUGACUGACCGAUAGUGAACCAGUACCGUGAGGGAAAGGCGAAAAGAACCCCGGCGAGGGGAGUGAAAAAGAACCUGAAACCGUGUACGUACAAGCAGUGGGAGCACGCUUAGGCGUGUGACUGCGUACCUUUUGUAUAAUGGGUCAGCGACUUAUAUUCUGUAGCAAGGUUAACCGAAUAGGGGAGCCGAAGGGAAACCGAGUCUUAACUGGGCGUUAAGUUGCAGGGUAUAGACCCGAAACCCGGUGAUCUAGCCAUGGGCAGGUUGAAGGUUGGGUAACACUAACUGGAGGACCGAACCGACUAAUGUUGAAAAAUUAGCGGAUGACUUGUGGCUGGGGGUGAAAGGCCAAUCAAACCGGGAGAUAGCUGGUUCUCCCCGAAAGCUAUUUAGGUAGCGCCUCGUGAACUCAUCUCCGGGGGUAGAGCACUGUUUCGGCAAGGGGGUCAUCCCGACUUACCAACCCGAUGCAAACUGCGAAUACCGGAGAAUGUUAUCACGGGAGACACACGGCGGGUGCUAACGUCCGUCGUGAAGAGGGAAACAACCCAGACCGCCAGCUAAGGUCCCAAAGUCAUGGUUAAGUGGGAAACGAUGUGGGAAGGCCCAGACAGCCAGGAUGUUGGCUUAGAAGCAGCCAUCAUUUAAAGAAAGCGUAAUAGCUCACUGGUCGAGUCGGCCUGCGCGGAAGAUGUAACGGGGCUAAACCAUGCACCGAAGCUGCGGCAGCGACGCUUAUGCGUUGUUGGGUAGGGGAGCGUUCUGUAAGCCUGUGAAGGUGUGCUGUGAGGCAUGCUGGAGGUAUCAGAAGUGCGAAUGCUGACAUAAGUAACGAUAAAGCGGGUGAAAAGCCCGCUCGCCGGAAGACCAAGGGUUCCUGUCCAACGUUAAUCGGGGCAGGGUGAGUCGACCCCUAAGGCGAGGCCGAAAGGCGUAGUCGAUGGGAAACAGGUUAAUAUUCCUGUACUUGGUGUUACUGCGAAGGGGGGACGGAGAAGGCUAUGUUGGCCGGGCGACGGUUGUCCCGGUUUAAGCGUGUAGGCUGGUUUUCCAGGCAAAUCCGGAAAAUCAAGGCUGAGGCGUGAUGACGAGGCACUACGGUGCUGAAGCAACAAAUGCCCUGCUUCCAGGAAAAGCCUCUAAGCAUCAGGUAACAUCAAAUCGUACCCCAAACCGACACAGGUGGUCAGGUAGAGAAUACCAAGGCGCUUGAGAGAACUCGGGUGAAGGAACUAGGCAAAAUGGUGCCGUAACUUCGGGAGAAGGCACGCUGAUAUGUAGGUGAAGUCCCUCGCGGAUGGAGCUGAAAUCAGUCGAAGAUACCAGCUGGCUGCAACUGUUUAUUAAAAACACAGCACUGUGCAAACACGAAAGUGGACGUAUACGGUGUGACGCCUGCCCGGUGCCGGAAGGUUAAUUGAUGGGGUUAGCCGCAAGGCGAAGCUCUUGAUCGAAGCCCCGGUAAACGGCGGCCGUAACUAUAACGGUCCUAAGGUAGCGAAAUUCCUUGUCGGGUAAGUUCCGACCUGCACGAAUGGCGUAAUGAUGGCCAGGCUGUCUCCACCCGAGACUCAGUGAAAUUGAACUCGCUGUGAAGAUGCAGUGUACCCGCGGCAAGACGGAAAGACCCCGUGAACCUUUACUAUAGCUUGACACUGAACAUUGAGCCUUGAUGUGUAGGAUAGGUGGGAGGCUUUGAAGUGUGGACGCCAGUCUGCAUGGAGCCGACCUUGAAAUACCACCCUUUAAUGUUUGAUGUUCUAACGUUGACCCGUAAUCCGGGUUGCGGACAGUGUCUGGUGGGUAGUUUGACUGGGGCGGUCUCCUCCUAAAGAGUAACGGAGGAGCACGAAGGUUGGCUAAUCCUGGUCGGACAUCAGGAGGUUAGUGCAAUGGCAUAAGCCAGCUUGACUGCGAGCGUGACGGCGCGAGCAGGUGCGAAAGCAGGUCAUAGUGAUCCGGUGGUUCUGAAUGGAAGGGCCAUCGCUCAACGGAUAAAAGGUACUCCGGGGAUAACAGGCUGAUACCGCCCAAGAGUUCAUAUCGACGGCGGUGUUUGGCACCUCGAUGUCGGCUCAUCACAUCCUGGGGCUGAAGUAGGUCCCAAGGGUAUGGCUGUUCGCCAUUUAAAGUGGUACGCGAGCUGGGUUUAGAACGUCGUGAGACAGUUCGGUCCCUAUCUGCCGUGGGCGCUGGAGAACUGAGGGGGGCUGCUCCUAGUACGAGAGGACCGGAGUGGACGCAUCACUGGUGUUCGGGUUGUCAUGCCAAUGGCACUGCCCGGUAGCUAAAUGCGGAAGAGAUAAGUGCUGAAAGCAUCUAAGCACGAAACUUGCCCCGAGAUGAGUUCUCCCUGACUCCUUGAGAGUCCUGAAGGAACGUUGAAGACGACGACGUUGAUAGGCCGGGUGUGUAAGCGCAGCGAUGCGUUGAGCUAACCGGUACUAAUGAACCGUGAGGCUUAACCUU